CCAACCCUAUGGGCCGCUUACCACGGCAACCUCGAGGCGCUGCGGCUCAUUGUAGGGAGAGGAGUGGACACGUGUGUUUACAUACACGUCAGCAGGAAAUAAGACUACCUGCACCAACAUGAGCAGACAGGACUCUGAGGGUGAAGUGCCUUUAUUCCAUGAAGAUGAAAAUGCAUUUACAGAGAAGAAAUCAAAAAUCAAACACCCUUUGGCAUGUUUCUUUCAUCUUUUCUUCCGCACAAGUGCCAUCCUGAUCUACCUCUUUUGUGAGUUUCUUAGCCGAAGUUUUAUUGCCAACAUGGUCGCCAUCAUUUUACUUCUGUCAUGUGACUUCUGGACAGUAAAGAAUGUGACAGGGCGACUGUUGGUGGGUUUGAGAUGGUGGAAUCAGGUUGAUGAAAACGGUCACAGUCAUUGGAUGUUCGAAUCCAGAUCAAAAACCAGUAAAAAUGUGGUCUCAAACUCUGAUUCACGCAUUUUCUGGAUUGGUCUGAUCAUGUGUCCAGUGUUUUGGGUUUUCUUUCUGUUUAGCUCACUUUUUUCCUUCAACAUAAAGUGGUUGGUGGUUGUGAUCAUGGGAGUUGUGCUGCAGUGGGCUAACCUGUAUGGAUAUGUGCGAUGCAAAGUAGGUGGUGCAACCAAACUGAAGAACAUGGCGAGUAAUUACUUUGGCCUUAAGCUCUUCAAAAAGGUAGUAAACAAACCAGAGGGACCCUAAUUUGACUGUGGAUCAGACUUCAUUUAAUUGGCUAGAAUGGAUUGUUUCAGUCUGAUCAUUAUCAUUUUUUAUGUGAAGAAUACAAGGCGGAACAAAGAGGAAACUGACAACACGUCAACAGACAAGGCAGAGCAGGUUACUUCUGGUAUGAAAGAAGGUCACAGCUUUCAAAUUUUGUAAUUUAAUAUUGUUUAAACAAUAAAUACCAUUUUGUGGCUCCUUAAUGUGUUGUGGCAGAUCACUGUAUUGCUUCAGAUCAAUCGACACAUGAACCGAUUGAUCGACACAUGAAUCUCUGUUUGAAAACCUGCAAUUGCAGUUAUUUUUGGAAUUACCAUUCUUGUAAUUAGAUGCACAUUUUAAACUGGAAUGUAAUUAAAUUUCAGUCACAUGUGUUUCAUAAACACAUGAUCCUUUCUGGAUUACAAUCCACCAUCAAAUUGCUAAAUUUAAUUAUUCCAGCUGCUUUGAGAAAAGGCAAUAAACAAUCCAGCACCUGCAGCAUCCUCAUAUGCGAGAUAAUGUGGCAAUAUAGCCUGGACGCCUUCUUUAUUUUUACAGAUGUGACGUUAUAACGCCGCGUCAUGCUCGAAUUUCCCACAAAAGCCUACCCGUACCACUCAAAUUAGAAAACAUUAUUAUAAGAUAACCGUUAUUCAAAUAUUGAUUUCAGAUCAUUUUUAACCAAAAGGACUGCAGCUUUAAAACAUGAAAUAAACAUGAAUGAACAUCAGAAUGUAUUUUAUUUCAACCACAGAAAGACAUCAAUACUCACAAUUUUUUCUUGUUAAUCUACUCCUGUCUGAUUUGUUUGUCGAACGAAAUGGCGGAUUCAAGCAUUAUGAUGGGUCAGAUUGCCUGUUAAUCAAGCUUAUUGCAAAGGAUCAAAUUUUAAAAGACGUUUCACUCAUUGCCUGCACUUCUGCAGUUAUCUUUCUCUAUAGUUGCAUUCACUCAUUUCCCAAAGUCAUCUUGAAUGUUGAAAAAUUGGAGAGAACACAUAAGCUGACUUCAUACACUCAUGUUGACUUUCCUAAAAUGGUUUUCAAACUCACACAUUUAAGUGACUAGUGUUCCCUUUGGUUGGGCACUUGGAACUUCAUUCAUUCAUAUUAUUGUAAUUCUCUUCCUUCUGAUGCAACAUGAAUUUACAGUUAUGUGGCUUCAAGGAAAGGGACAUAAUAAAAAGGUUGCUUUUAAAAGAUGACCUAAAUUCUAACUAAAUCAUUAACUGGUCUGUUUUUAAUGUGGAGUAAUGAUCUUUCACAAUUGUAUUGCUACAUUUGUCAUACAGUUGUGGAUUAACUAGUUACAUGUAACGAAAUUACGACCUCCAUCUUCAUUACAACCUCCUCCUUCAUUACAAAAUGAAUGUAUGAAUGUUUUUGAAAUCAAAUACUUACAUUGCUACAACAGGAAACACUGGCAUCUAACAAAAAAAAGUUAAUCUUAAAAAAUAAAGCAUAUGCAUAAACCCAAAUCACUGUUGAGUACUAUGGCAAGGUUAACCUUGUCUGCUUUAAAUGUUUUAAGAUGAUUAACAGCUGAAAACAUUCAUUAGAAAUUUAGAAAAGUAAUCAAAUGUAAUCAGUUACAUAAUUUUAGUAAAGUAAUUUAAAUAGUUACACUACUUAUUACAUUUUAAAUAAUGUAACUUGUAAUCUGUAACCUAGUACUUUUCCAAAGUAGCCAUCCCAACACUGAUCAUAAACACCUUGUGAAGCUUUUAACAGGGAUGAUAUAUUCGUUUGAUAAUAUCUUGCAACUGAGUAACACAUAGACUUCAACAUUCAGCACGCAAAACUCACAAGCGGAUACCGUUUUUGGUAACAGUUUAUUUUACGGUUUCUUAACUAGCUGCUUAUUAGCAUGCAUAUUACUAGAAUAUUAGCCAUUUAUUAGUACUAAUUAAGCACAUAUUAGUGCCUUAUUCUGCAUAACCUUAUUCUACAUCCCUAACUUAACAGCUACCUUAAAUAACUAUUAAUAAGCAGCAAAUUAGAAAUUUAUUGAGGGAAAAGUUGUUGUUAAUCGUGAAUAAGUGUUCCCUAUUCUAGUGUUAACCAAAUGGUAUUUAUUUUCAUUAAUUAUAACAAUAACAGUGGUAUUUGCUCAUUUUGUUGUGCUACUACUGACACAAGACAGUAAAUAAAAAAAGUUGGCAAAAAAGUCAGUAAUUCUAAGUAGCUAUACUAAGUCAAGAGUAAAUCUUAAGUACUCUCUACAGCUUUUUUUUAGUUACUAGAACUCUCAUGUAAAUGAACUAUACUAACUAAGCAUUUGUCAGAACAACAUGAUAUUCCUCGUUCACUCUUUUUAAGGCAAUCGGUUUGUAUGCUUUUUUCAGUAAGCCUAACUAAUUAGGUUUUACAGUGUAGUAUUUUGGCAACCUUGCUAACUAUUAAUAAGCAGAAAAUUAGGAGUUUAUUGAGACAAGUCAUAGUCAAUAGUUAGUUAAUAUUGAAAACUGGUCCUCAAGCUAAAAUCUGACCAAUCUUUGCAAAGAAGGAGCCAUGGGUUACCACCAUUGUCCCUUUGAGAAAGGUGCUUGCAGAAAUGGUGAAAUAAAAGAUGGAUUUUUAUGGCUUUUACCCAAUGUCUGUUAGCUUUGAUGUUGUCUAUGAUAGUGUACAUGACCUCAAGGUAGGGGUCAAGGUAGACGUUAGCUACUGCUGACAGAUGACAUAAGAACACCAUUCUGGGAGUAUAAAAGCAAUAUAAGAGUAGCUGUUUAUUCAGGUGAAAAAGAAGAAAAAAAUCCAACCCAGUUGAUCCAAUAACUGGAAAAACAAGCCUGUAGUGAUAUUACUGAAAAAUUACAUAAUGUUGCUAUUUGCAUGUUUAAUCGCUUUUUCAAAGUGAAAUUUUUAGUGCAAAAGUCGGUGACAAUAAAACAGUGUUCAAUUCCAUCUGAAACAGAUGAACGUGAAUGUGGCAGCGUCUUAUCAUUACUUAUUGCGGCAGUUUGAAAAUGAAUUAUCCAGUGAGUGGUGCGUAAAGGUUAAAGGUUUCGCAUUUGUUAAAAGUUUUGCAAUCUAAAAUGAUGUACCAUCUACACUAAACCCUACACUGUAAAAAAUGCAAGGAAUUUGCAGGAUUAAAGAGUAAAUUUGUGAAAUCAA
Molecule: RNA transcript, 3840 nt
Organism: Labeo rohita (rohu)
Lineage: Eukaryota; Metazoa; Chordata; Actinopteri; Cypriniformes; Cyprinidae
Exons: 9
Source: RefSeq, a predicted model, not a curated record